RNAcentral lists this ribosomal RNA (305 nucleotides) under uncultured bacterium. Its description in RNAcentral is "partial 16S ribosomal RNA". It matches the Rfam family "Bacterial small subunit ribosomal RNA", at positions 508 to 807 of the family's 1533-position model. The record is from RNAcentral.
ACAGCAGUAGCCGCGGUAAUACAGAGGGUGCGAGCGUUAAUCGGAUUUACUGGGCGUAAAGCGUGCGUAGGCGGCUUCUUAAGUCGGAUGUGAAAUCCCUGAGCUUAACUUAGGAAUUGCAUUCGAUACUGGGAAGCUAGAGUAUGGGAGAGGAUGGUAGAAUUCCAGGUGUAGCGGUGAAAUGCGUAGAGAUCUGGAGGAAUACCGAUGGCGAAGUCAGCCAUCUGGCCUAAUACUGACGCUGAGGUACGAAAGCAUAAGGAGCAAACAGGAUUAGAUACCCCCGUAGUCCCUGUCUCUUAUAC